GUGGGAUGCAAUCGUCUUAUUAUUAACUCUGAUAAUAUGGAAGUAAUCAACACAAUGAAGAAUGGAGGAUAAUCGGCGGGAGCGACGGCGACAGUCUUUGAUGAUUGCUAUUUUUUGGCUUGUGAUUUUCCUCUUACUAAGUUUGAACAUUGUAAUAGGGAAGCAAAUAAGGUGGCUCAUGAACUUGCUAGGUUAGCGAAAUUUUCUACGACUAGGGACAGUUUUGAGGAGCCCUUGGAUGGAAUUGUAACUUUUCUUAUUGACGAUGUAACUGUUAUUUCUAAUUAA
This 288-nucleotide ribosomal RNA is filed under the name Triticum aestivum (bread wheat). RNAcentral describes it as "partial small subunit ribosomal RNA". The record is from RNAcentral. Lineage: Eukaryota; Viridiplantae; Streptophyta; Magnoliopsida; Poales; Poaceae.